This 1107-nucleotide ribosomal RNA is filed under the name Triticum aestivum (bread wheat). Its description in RNAcentral is "partial small subunit ribosomal RNA". Lineage: Eukaryota; Viridiplantae; Streptophyta; Magnoliopsida; Poales; Poaceae. The record is from RNAcentral.
AUGGGCUCUUGUGGUGGGAUGGUGGUCUCUCGUGGAUGGCCUUGCGUCCUGCUCCUGCUGGCUUGUUGCUGGCUGUGCGAGGCCGGCGCGGGGUUGGCCCCGGCGCUAUACGUGCUCGGCGAUUCGCAGGCGGACGCCGGGACCAACAACCACCUGGUGACGGUGCUCAGGGCGGACCACCCGCACAACGGCGUCGACUACCCGGGCUGCAAGGCCACCGGCAGGUUCAGCAACGGCAAGAACUUCGUCGACUUCCUCGCUGAACAUCUGAAGCUACCGAGCAGCCCUCCUCCAUACCUGUCCAUCUGCAACACCCCAAGCAGCAAUUCCAUAUAUCUGACUGGUGUCAACUUCGCUUCAGGAGGUGCAGGGGUAUUAAAUCAAACAAAUCAGGGUCAGUGCAUCAGCUUCGACCACCAAAUCGAUCACCAAUUCUCCAAGGUGAAUGCAUCACUGGUGCAGCAGCUCGGCCAGGCUCAGGCUUCGGCACACCUGAGCAGAUCGAUCUUCGCCGUUGCAAUCGGUGGCAACGACAUACUCAAUUACGUCCGUCCAAGUCUUGUGAACCAGGUGCUAAGCCCUUGUCCUCCAACUCAGUCUCCUGAUGAGUUCGUCUCCUCGUUGGCUCUCUCGCUGAAAGACCAGCUGCAGAGGCUGUACAAACUCGGGAUGCGCAGGAUGUUCAUCAUCGGGGCAGCGCCACUGGGGUGCUGCCCGGUGCUGCGGGGGAAGGACGAGUGCGACGCACUAGCAAACUACAUGUCAGCUCAGUACAACAUCAAGGUGGCUUCCCUCCUGCGCGACAAGUACCCAGAUAUGCUCUACUCCUUGUUCGACCCAUCCAUUGCAUUGCUCGAUUACUUCCAGCGACCAGAAGCAAACGGUUACGCUGUGGUGGAUGCAGCGUGCUGCGGGCUAGGAGGGAAGAAAAACGCCAUGUUUAGCUGCACUCCGGCCAGCUCCCUCUGCAACAACCGGACCAACCAUGUUUUCUGGGACUUUGUGCACCCCACGGAGAUCACCGCGCAGAAGCUCACGGCAAUUGCCUUCCACGGAUCAGCACCCUUCGUGACCCCCAGAAAUGUUGGGCAGCUAUGUCCUAUGUGA